RNAcentral lists this ribosomal RNA (321 nucleotides) under Pectobacterium carotovorum. RNAcentral's name for it is "bacterial SSU rRNA". It matches the Rfam family "Bacterial small subunit ribosomal RNA", at positions 1210 to 1530 of the family's 1533-position model. Lineage: Bacteria; Pseudomonadati; Pseudomonadota; Gammaproteobacteria; Enterobacterales; Pectobacteriaceae. The record is from RNAcentral.
GGGGCUACACACGUGCUACAAUGGCGUAUACAAAGAGAAGCGACCUCGCGAGAGCAAGCGGACCUCAUAAAGUACGUCGUAGUCCGGAUUGGAGUCUGCAACUCGACUCCAUGAAGUCGGAAUCGCUAGUAAUCGUAGAUCAGAAUGCUACGGUGAAUACGUUCCCGGGCCUUGUACACACCGCCCGUCACACCAUGGGAGUGGGUUGCAAAAGAAGUAGGUAGCUUAACCUUCGGGAGGGCGCUUACCACUUUGUGAUUCAUGACUGGGGUGAAGUCGUAACAAGGUAACCGUAGGGGAACCUGCGGUUGGAUCACCUCC